AAUAGUGUUGGGUGUAAAACCCCCCCAGCCGAAGUUCGUGUCAGGAGUGACCCCUCGGAGAUUCUACCGAUGUCCGACCUACGGCUGCAAAAAGGCUUCGUCUAGACUCCUACGGGAGCCAGACUUCGUCCCUGACUUCGGCUGCAGGAAGCCUUCGUCCGGACUCCUACGGGAGCCGGACUUCAUCCCCGACUUCGGCUGCAAGA
This 206-nucleotide long non-coding RNA is filed under the name Elaeis guineensis (African oil palm). RNAcentral's name for it is "long non-coding RNA (EGUI_LNC078407)". The record is from RNAcentral. Lineage: Eukaryota; Viridiplantae; Streptophyta; Magnoliopsida; Arecales; Arecaceae.